RNAcentral lists this long non-coding RNA (512 nucleotides) under Phoenix dactylifera (date palm). Its description in RNAcentral is "long non-coding RNA (PDAC_LNC013949)". Lineage: Eukaryota; Viridiplantae; Streptophyta; Magnoliopsida; Arecales; Arecaceae. The record is from RNAcentral.
GGAGGCCUUUACAGUGUUCUAUGGGGAAAGAGUAAAGAACAUGCUGAUAGCAACAUACAAAUGAGGGAAGAUGGAGAAUCUUGCUUAGAGGAGAAAAAAAUCGCACCAUCAGUUGAGACUACACAAGCAACAUAAGUUGUCCAAUUAUGACAUAGAACCGGUUGCUGAUCGCGGAGGACGUCGCAGCUGUGGAGAUGUUUCAACCGUGGAUGAAAUCGCUGUUAAGGAAGAGUUGGGAUCAACCAUCUGAUUUCCGUUUCAUCUAGUCAAAAGUCCUUCCGAAUUUGAACUCUGUUUCGAAUGAGGCAUGAGUCUUUGUUUCCGUUUUAAGUUGGUUUAGAUUUGGUUUGUUUUAUUUUCUAAAUCCUGGUUGAAUCCCGGUUGGAGUAGGAGUCCUUUGUUUCGUUUGGGUUAAAGGGUUGGGGUUGUGUAGCCUAUAUAAGACAUCGUUGAAGACCUUGAGGGGGUUUCUUCCGUUCUGUUUUUUUCUUCAGCCGCCAUUGAAUGAAAAC